This 253-nucleotide ribosomal RNA is filed under the name uncultured prokaryote. RNAcentral's name for it is "partial 16S ribosomal RNA". It matches the Rfam family "Bacterial small subunit ribosomal RNA", at positions 524 to 776 of the family's 1533-position model. The record is from RNAcentral.
GACAGAGGGGGCAAGCGUUGCUCGGAAUUACUGGGCGUAAAGGGCGCGUAGGCGGGAUGGCAAGUCGGUCGUGAAAUCCUUCGGCUCAACCGAAGAACGUCGAUCGAUACUGCUGUUCUUGAGGGUUGCAGAGGAGACUGGAAUUCUCGGUGUAGCAGUGAAAUGCGUAGAUAUCGAGAGGAACACCAGUGGCGAAGGCGAGUCUCUGGACAUUUCCUGACGCUGAGGCACGAAAGCCAGGGGAGCAAACGGG